UUCGUUAUGGUCUAGUGGUUAGGAUCACCCGCUCUCAUCACCAGAGCUUGCCAUUGCUGCACCGGGUAGGCCCGGGUUCCAUUCCCGGUAACGGAA
Molecule: non-coding RNA, 96 nt
Organism: Trichodelitschia bisporula
Lineage: Eukaryota; Fungi; Ascomycota; Dothideomycetes; Phaeotrichales; Phaeotrichaceae
Source: the annotation of a GenBank genome assembly